ANNNAAGGNAUACUUAGUACGGCGAGUGAGCGGUAAAAGCUCAAAUUUGAAAUCUGGUACUUUCAGUGCCCGAGUUGUAAUUUGUAGAAUUUGUCUUUGAUUAGGUCCUUGUCUAUGUUCCUUGGAACAGGACGUCAUAGAGGGUGAGAAUCCCGUUUGGCGAGGAUACCUUUUCUCUGUAAGACUUUUUCGAAGAGUCGAGUUGUUUGGGAAUGCAGCUCAAAGUGGGUGGUAAAUUCCAUCUAAAGCUAAAUAUUGGCGAGAGACCGAUAGCGAACAAGUACAGUGAUGGAAAGAUGAAAAGAACUUUGAAAAGAGAGUGAAAAAGUACGUGAAAUUGUUGAAAGGGAAGGGCAUUUGAUCAGACAUGGUGUUUUUUGCAUGCACUUGCCUCUCGUGGGCUUGGGCCUCUCAAAAAUUUCACUGGGCCAACAUCAAUUCUGGCAGUAGGAUAAAUCAUUAAGAAUGUAGCUACCUCGGUAGUGUUAUAGCUUAUUGGAAUACUGCUAGCUGGGAUUGAGGACUGCGCUUCGGCAAGGAUGUUGGCAUAAUGGUUAAAUGCCGCCCGUCUUGAACCACGGACCC
RNAcentral lists this ribosomal RNA (585 nucleotides) under Hanseniaspora opuntiae. Its description in RNAcentral is "partial large subunit ribosomal RNA". It matches the Rfam family "Eukaryotic large subunit ribosomal RNA", at positions 67 to 668 of the family's 3401-position model. Lineage: Eukaryota; Fungi; Ascomycota; Saccharomycetes; Saccharomycodales; Saccharomycodaceae. The record is from RNAcentral.